RNAcentral lists this ribosomal RNA (156 nucleotides) under Triticum aestivum (bread wheat). RNAcentral's name for it is "partial small subunit ribosomal RNA". Lineage: Eukaryota; Viridiplantae; Streptophyta; Magnoliopsida; Poales; Poaceae. The record is from RNAcentral.
AUGGAGAAGUUCAUAUGCCCUCACAAGGAAGCUGCAUCCCACCUCGCUGAUGACUAUGUCGAUGCUCGCAGAGGGCAAGUGCCCACUAGAUUCAGAUUUGCGUGGUCAAAGAAUGGGGGAGCUGCCGUGAGCACCUUUUGGGUGUUCAUCUUGUAA